UAUUUUGACUAUAUGAAGGUAUUGAAAUAAGGCUUUUAUUGGGUGCUAAGAGAAUGGUUUUACAAAGAUUAACUUUCUUUUUUCUUUUAAUAGAAUUUAAUUUAAAUAUGAAAAAGUUUUUAUAAGAGUUUGGGACAAGAAGACCCUAUGAAUUUUUUUUUAAAUUUAAAAAUUUAUAUAUUAAUAUGAAUGUUUUGUUAUUAUUUAAAGUUGAUUGGGGUGAUUGUUUAAGAUUUAAAAUCUUAAACAAUGAUGUAAUUAGAACCUAAAAUUUAGGUUAUUUGAGUAAAAUACUCUAGGGUUAACAGCGUUAUUAUUUUGGAUAGUUCUUAUAGAUGAAAUAGUUUGCGACCUCGAUGUUGGAUUAGGA
RNAcentral lists this ribosomal RNA (370 nucleotides) under Alectorobius octodontus. RNAcentral describes it as "Ornithodoros octodontus partial large subunit ribosomal RNA". Lineage: Eukaryota; Metazoa; Arthropoda; Arachnida; Ixodida; Argasidae. The record is from RNAcentral.